Molecule: transfer RNA, 89 nt
Filed under: Clostridia bacterium
Lineage: Bacteria; Bacillati; Bacillota; Clostridia
Also listed under: 1 other name
Description: tRNA-Leu
Rfam family: tRNA
About the family: Transfer RNA (tRNA) molecules are approximately 80 nucleotides in length. Their secondary structure includes four short double-helical elements and three loops (D, anti-codon, and T loops). Further hydrogen bonds mediate the characteristic L-shaped molecular structure. tRNAs have two regions of fundamental functional importance: the anti-codon, which is responsible for specific mRNA codon recognition, and the 3' end, to which the tRNAs corresponding amino acid is attached (by aminoacyl-tRNA synthetases). tRNAs cope with the degeneracy of the genetic code in two manners: having more than one tRNA (with a specific anti-codon) for a particular amino acid; and 'wobble' base-pairing, i.e. permitting non-standard base-pairing at the 3rd anti-codon position.
Source: RNAcentral
GCCCGAGUGGCGGAAUCGGCAGACGCACAGGACUUAAAAUCCUGGGAGAGUCACAUCUCGUGCCAGUUCAAGUCUGGCCUCGGGCACCA